AAUGACAACCGCAGUAAUAAUAAGCAGUAUCAAAACCUAAAGGUUUUAUCUGAUUCGAUUAGGACCACGGUGGGCGAAGAUUGUUGCACCGCAACUUUAAAGCAAAGCUGAAUUUUGGCCUGAACUAUUCUGAGGAGCUAGAAAUGAGGAACUUCCCAUUCCAUACUCUUACAAUCAGUGGAUUUCAAUUUACUAUUUGAAUAAUAUUUAUUUUUCUGUUUUUA
This is a long non-coding RNA of Hermetia illucens (black soldier fly), 224 nucleotides long. RefSeq lists it as uncharacterized. The record is from RefSeq and is a predicted model, not a curated record. Lineage: Eukaryota; Metazoa; Arthropoda; Insecta; Diptera; Stratiomyidae. The transcript has 2 exons.